GCACGUGAGUGUCCCAAUGCAACUUUGAUGGCUCAGUCCUAGCAGACGGCUUCUGGCAGUUUAGCCCAGCCAGCAACUUUGGCCUCAUCUCAGAGCAGAGGGCGAGGUCGAGGUAGAGGGGCAGCCUCUUCUUCAGCAGGUUCCAACGGGGAAGGUCCUUCAGCUCCAGCACGGAUCUUCACUAUGACUCAGCAGGAGGCUAACACAUCGAACACGGUGGUGUCAGGUAAUCUCACUAUUGGAUGUUCUGAUGUGUAUGCUCUUAUGGACCCUGG
RNAcentral lists this long non-coding RNA (275 nucleotides) under Manihot esculenta (cassava). RNAcentral describes it as "long non-coding RNA (MESC_LNC009209)". Lineage: Eukaryota; Viridiplantae; Streptophyta; Magnoliopsida; Malpighiales; Euphorbiaceae. The record is from RNAcentral.